Molecule: ribosomal RNA, 377 nt
Filed under: uncultured bacterium
Lineage: Bacteria
Description: bacterial SSU rRNA
Rfam family: Bacterial small subunit ribosomal RNA
Source: RNAcentral
AUACGUAGGGGGCGAGCGUUGUCCGGAAUUACUGGGCGUAAAGGGUGCGUAGGUGGUUGUUUAAGUCUGUCGUGAAAGCCCUGGGCUCAACCUGGGAAUUGCGAUGGAAACUGGGCGACUAGAGUGUGGCAGAGGGUAGUGGAAUUCCUGGUGUAGCAGUGAAAUGCGUAGAGAUCAGGAGGAACAUCCGUGGCGAAGGCGACUGCCUGGGCCAACACUGACACUGAGGCACGAAAGCGUGGGGAGCAAACAGGAUUAGAUACCCUGGUAGUCCACGCCCUAAACGAUGCGAACUGGAUGUUGGGUGCAAUUUGGCACGCAGUAUCGAAGCUAACGCGUUAAGUUCGCCGCCUGGGGAGUACGGUCGCAAGACUGAA